Long non-coding RNA from Anguilla rostrata (American eel), 408 nucleotides. RefSeq lists it as uncharacterized. The record is from RefSeq and is a predicted model, not a curated record. NCBI's taxonomy places the organism in Eukaryota, Metazoa, Chordata, Actinopteri, Anguilliformes, Anguillidae. The transcript is spliced from 3 exons.
CAAUACACACGUUCUUCCAUCAUAAUAAAGUCGUAAUGCUUAGCCUAUUGUGUCAAUACGUUACGUUCUUUUUGUGAUGCAUAGUCUAGUAGGUUUGAUCUAAAUGCAGUUAUAGCACAUAGCCUUUUUUCCGGGAUUUGUCGAUAUAAUUGUGCCGCCGUGUUAACACAUUACUACGGUUGAGGGUCAGGCACUCUCCACGGAAAAUUCUAGAAGCAACUGUACAAAGGGUACACAUGGACCCCCAAGGGCGAAUGAUGACUGAGCAACAGGAGAAGAUCUGGUUGAGCACGCUGAAUUUGCCUUCCUUUCUGAGACUGUGGUCACUGUUCUGGGAGUGCAGCUGCCUAUCUGAUUCUGUGGAUCUGUGGAGAAACAGCAGACAAACACAAGAAAACCCAGUCACCC